UUCGCAAUGCCCGAAAGGGUGACGAAGCGACGCCGCGUGUGGGAAGAAGGCCUUCGGGUUGUAAACCACUGUUGGGAGUUAGGAAGUGUGGAGGUGUUAAUAGCGCUUUCACUUGACUAAAGCUCCAGAGGAAGCCACGGCUAACUCUGUGCCAGCAGCCGCGGUAAUACAGAGGCGGCAAGCGUUGUUCGGAAUUAUUGGGCGUAAAGAGCACGUAGGCGGCUCUGCAAGUCAGCUGUGAAUGCCUUCUGCUUAACGGAAGAACGGCAGUUGAAACUACAGGGCUUGAGUACGGGAGGGGAGAGUGGAACUUCUGGUGGAGCGGUGAAAUGCGUAGAUAUCAGAAGGAACGCCGGCGGCGAAAGCGGCUCUCUGGUCCGUAACUGACGCUGAGUGUGCGAAAGCUAGGGGAGCAAACGGGAUUAGAUACCCCGGUAGUCCUAGCCGUAAACGAUGGGCACUAAGUAGAG
This 470-nucleotide ribosomal RNA is filed under the name uncultured bacterium. RNAcentral describes it as "bacterial SSU rRNA". It matches the Rfam family "Bacterial small subunit ribosomal RNA", at positions 365 to 825 of the family's 1533-position model. The record is from RNAcentral.